GGCUGGUCUGAGUGCAAUGGUGUUUACAACUAAUGGGUCACAACCAGCUACAGAUCCUUUUGUUCCUUCUUCACUCCCACUGCUUCACUUUACUAGCCUAAA
This 102-nucleotide Y RNA is filed under the name Propithecus coquereli (Coquerel's sifaka). RNAcentral describes it as "Y RNA (ENSPCOG00000001291.1)". It matches the Rfam family "Y RNA". From Rfam's summary of the family: Y RNAs are components of the Ro ribonucleoprotein particle (Ro RNP), in association with Ro60 and La proteins. The Y RNAs and Ro60 and La proteins are well conserved, but the function of the Ro RNP is not known. In humans the RNA component can be one of four small RNAs -- hY1, hY3, hY4 and hY5. Lineage: Eukaryota; Metazoa; Chordata; Mammalia; Primates; Indriidae. The record is from Rfam by way of RNAcentral.